Molecule: ribosomal RNA, 678 nt
Filed under: Triticum aestivum (bread wheat)
Lineage: Eukaryota; Viridiplantae; Streptophyta; Magnoliopsida; Poales; Poaceae
Description: partial small subunit ribosomal RNA
Source: RNAcentral
GGAUCCUUAUCCACAGGGCAAACUCCUGAGAAUUUAUCCAUUCUGGAAGGUUCUUUGCUCGGAGCUCUUAAACUUAUUAUGCUGAUAGGUCUCGUGAUCAUUUCUUUUGGUCCAAGUUAUUCAUACACCCUUCUGAAUCUACUAUAUGGAGGAAGAUAUAGUGAUGGCGAAGCUACAGCUGUCCUCCGUUACUAUUGUGUUUACAUAAUCUUCUUAGCAAUGAAUGGCAUGUCUGAAGCUUUCCUUCAUUCUGUUGCAAAUGAAAAGCAGCUUAAGCAGUCAAAUGAUAUAUUGCUCCUCUUCUCAGCAAUUUAUAUUGUUCUAAAUGUUACUUUUAUUAAAUCUGCCGGAGCUAUUGGGUUGAUUGCUGCAAAUUCUGUCAAUAUGCUACUGCGAAUCUCAUAUUCUGCAAUAUUCAUCGAAGAGUAUUUUAAGGGCUCAUUCUCCUUUCGCCACUGCUUGCCAGCGGGCUGGGGCGUUCUGCUCAUUUCUGGUGCGACCACAGCUUUCUCCGAGAGGGUGUUUCUGAAUAGAAAUAGGUUCAAGCAGACCCUUCCCAUUCACAUGGCGAUAGGCAUCAUGUGCCUGAUCUUCUCAUUGCUUGAGAUAUACCAUGGCGAAAAGCAGUUCUUGAUGAGCAUCAUCAAAUCGUUGAAGGGUCACGACAAACACACAUGA